UCUCAAACUUUCCACAAGUGCCUCUAUUCCAUCCACGAGGCUUCUGAAUCUGACCUAACGGUUUCAAUUUAUUCCCUGGUACUGAUUUCCUCGAGGUUUCUAUGGAUGUUUUCAAUGUGUUUCCUUGUACUGAAGAAGAUAUUGAUUGUUUUCUCGAGGUCUCUAUGAAUGGUUUCACUUGAUUCCCUUGAACGGAAGCAGAUAUUGAAGGUUUUCUCAAGUUGUCUAUUUGACCACGGUUGAUAUUAAUAUCACUAGAAGACGACAAAGUAACACCAUUUCUCUUUUG
Molecule: long non-coding RNA, 289 nt
Filed under: Medicago truncatula (barrel medic)
Lineage: Eukaryota; Viridiplantae; Streptophyta; Magnoliopsida; Fabales; Fabaceae
Description: long non-coding RNA (MTRU_LNC007550)
Source: RNAcentral